UACGAAGGGGGCUAGCGUUGUUCGGAAUUACUGGGCGUAAAGCGCACGUAGGCGGCUUGUUAAGUCAGGGGUGAAAUCCUGGAGCUCAACUCCAGAACUGCCUUUGAUACUGGCGAGCUUGAGUUCGGGAGAGGUGAGUGGAACUGCGAGCGUAGAGGUGAAAUUCGUAGAUAUUCGCAAGAACACCAGUGGCGAAGGCGGCUCACUGGCCCGAUACUGACGCUGAGGUGCGCAAGCGUGGGGAGCAAACAGG
This 253-nucleotide ribosomal RNA is filed under the name uncultured bacterium. Its description in RNAcentral is "partial 16S ribosomal RNA". It matches the Rfam family "Bacterial small subunit ribosomal RNA", at positions 524 to 776 of the family's 1533-position model. The record is from RNAcentral.